RNAcentral lists this small RNA (648 nucleotides) under Histoplasma ohiense. RNAcentral describes it as "hypothetical lncRNA". Lineage: Eukaryota; Fungi; Ascomycota; Eurotiomycetes; Onygenales; Ajellomycetaceae. The record is from RNAcentral.
UUGCCGCGUUGGUGUCGGCCACAGCGACAUCGACAUACUCCAACCCAACACUAACCGCACAGCUCACGAGCACCUUUUCUUUAAUACCCGGAUAUCGCGACUCGAGCAGGUCGAAGAGUUUGGGGAGUGGGAGUGGCGCGGGGAAGGACUCUGUUUGCUUUCUCGUGUAGGAAGAGGCGGUUGAGAAGUAGUGGAUUUGGAAGGUUGGGGGGGACAUUGUUUGGUGGUGAUUUUUUUUUUUGUUUAUUUUGGGGGGGGUUGAGUUUGACUGUCUUGCUCGUCUGCUCUUCGUGCUCUGUGGAUUGAUAGGUGUAGACGAAGUAGUGUUAACUUGAGUAGCCACUUUUUAAGCAGGAGCAAGGCAAGUGGUGGAAGUUGUUAUAUUAUAUUCGCAUAUCGGGAUUCAACAACAUGCUUCUGGUAAGGAGCGCUCCUUGGAGAAGAACCAAGAACAGAUCCCAGAUCCCCUCCGAGCCGUCUUCUCCCCCUCCGGCUCCAAAUCUCUCACUCACAACCGAGUAAUCAAUCAAAACCCCUCCGAUCACAGUUCCAGUGUUUGCGCCUCGUCCUUCGUCGCCAGGCACUGGGAUUUGGUCGAACGGGAAAUUCGGGGAAUUAGCUCAGAGGUAGGCCCACGUAUCGGGAACC